RNAcentral lists this ribosomal RNA (459 nucleotides) under uncultured bacterium. RNAcentral describes it as "bacterial SSU rRNA". It matches the Rfam family "Bacterial small subunit ribosomal RNA", at positions 340 to 786 of the family's 1533-position model. The record is from RNAcentral.
UACGGGAGGCAGCAGUGGGGAAUAUUGCACAAUGGGCGAAAGCCUGAUGCAGCUAUGCCGCGUGUAUGAAGAAGGCCUUAGGGUUGUAAAGUACUUUCAUCGGGGAGGAAAAAACAAAACUAAUAAUUUUAUUUCUUGACGUUACCCGAAAAAGAAGCACCGGCUAACUCCGUGCCAGCAGCCGCGGUAAUACGGAGGGUGCUAGCGUUAAUCAGAAUUACUGGGCGUAAAGAGCACGUAGGUGGGUUUUUUUAAGUCAGAUGUGAAAUCCCUGGGCUUAACCUAGGAACUGCAUUUUGAAACUGAAAUACUAGAGUAUCGUAGAGGGAGGUAGAAUUCUAGGUGUAGCGGUGAAAUGCGUAGAUAUCUGGAGGAAUACCUGUGGCGAAAGCGGCCUCCUAAACGAAUACUGACACUGAGGUGCGAAAGCGUGGGGAGCGAAAACAGGGAUUAGAUACC